CUCAGCAGGGUUAAUAGUGAGCAGGUCACUCCCAGACUCAGGAGACAAGCAUCCAGCCAGGGGAACUUCAGGCACAAAGACCUUCACUGGAAGGAGGAGAUGGGGGCUUGGGCAGCCUGGGAGUUGUGAUGAGAGCAGUCUGGGUGAGAGCUGAGUACAGAGAAGUGGGCGGAGACCAGAUUACACAGGGCCUCACCAGCUUGAAAAGAAAACAGACCAGGCACACAGAGAACAAGUGCUAUGGGAACAAUCAAUGGACAUUUAAUCCAGCCUUGCAGAAUCCAGGAGGACUUCCUAGAGGAGAGUGAACUGGACAUUCCCUGUCUUCUCUGGAAGCAUGAGAAAUGGAGGAAAGAGAUCUGUCUUUUGGUUUUCCAGAUCCAAAUACUCUGGAUCCCUUGGCCUAUGCUCUUGUCCCAGGUCUCUCUCUGCACAGCCCCUCCUUCCCAGUUCUGGUCACCACUCUGUCUCCUUUCCCCUAUGGGGUUGGAGGUAGGAACAGAGUCCCAACGGAAUUGGGCAAUCCCUCCUAGUUUCUUUAUACCCUGCCCAUACUCUGGUCAACAACCUCUUCAUUUUAAAAAUUCAUUUAAAUUAACACAUUAUUUUGAAGGA
This is a non-coding RNA of Ictidomys tridecemlineatus (thirteen-lined ground squirrel), 615 nucleotides long. Lineage: Eukaryota; Metazoa; Chordata; Mammalia; Rodentia; Sciuridae. The record is from RefSeq and is a predicted model, not a curated record.